AUGCAGUCGGGCGGCAAGUUGAGGAGUAAUCUGAGACCUAGAGCGGCGGACGGGUGCGUAACGCGUAUGCAACCUGCCCCUUACCGGGGGAUAGCCCGGGGAAACCCGGAUUAAUACCCCAUAGGAUAACACUGUGGCAUCACGGAGUUAUUAAAGAUUUAUCGGUAAGGGAUGGGCAUGCGUAGGAUUAGUUAGUUGGCGGGGUAACGGCCCACCAAGACUUUGAUCCUUAGGGGUUCUGAGAGGAAGGUCCCCCACACUGGCACUGAGAUACGGGCCAGACUCCUACGGGAGGCAGCAGUAGGGAAUAUUGGGCGAUGGGCGGGAGCCUGACCCAGCCAUGCCGCGUGCAGGAAGAAGGCGUUAUGCGUUGUAAACUGCUUUUAUACAGGAAGAAAAGGCCCAUGCGUGGGACAUUGCCGGUACCGUAUGAAUAAGCACCGGCUAACUCCGUGCCAGCAGCCGCGGUAAUACGGAGGGUGCAAGCGUUGUCCGGAUUUAUUGGGUUUAAAGGGUGCGUAGGCGGCCGAUUAAGUCAGCGGUGAAAGUCUGUGGCUCAACCAUAGAAGCGCCGUUGAUACUGGUUGGCUUGAGUGCCGUAUGGGUACAUGGAAUUGAUGGUGUAGCGGUGAAAUGCAUAGAUACCAUCAGGAACACCGAUAGCGUAGGCAUUGUACUGUGCGGCAACUGACGCUGAGGCACGAAAGCAUGGGUAGCGAACAGGAUU
Molecule: ribosomal RNA, 727 nt
Filed under: uncultured bacterium
Lineage: Bacteria
Description: bacterial SSU rRNA
Rfam family: Bacterial small subunit ribosomal RNA
Source: RNAcentral